CUCUGGUAUUGAUUGGUGCUUGCAUCAUGAUUUACAUUUGAGUGAGUGGCGAACUGGUGAGUAACACGUGGGAAACCUGCCCAGAAGCGGGGGAUAACACCUGGAAACAGAUGCUAAUACCGCAUAACAACUUGGACCGCAUGGUCCGAGUUUGAAAGAUGGCUUCGGCUAUCACUUUUGGAUGGUCCCGCGGCGUAUUAGCUAGAUGGUGGGGUAACGGCUCACCAUGGCAAUGAUACGUAGCCGACCUGAGAGGGUAAUCGGCCACAUUGGGACUGAGACACGGCCCAAACUCCUACGGGAGGCAGCAGUAGGGAAUCUUCCACAAUGGACGAAAGUCUGAUGGAGCAACGCCGCGUGAGUGAAGAAGGGUUUCGGCUCGUAAAACUCUGUUGUUAAAGAAGAACAUAUCUGAGAGUAACUGUUCAGGUAUUGACGGUAUUUAACCAGAAAGCCACGGCUAACUACGUGCCAGCAGCCGCGGUAAUACGUAGGUGGCAAGCGUUGUCCGGAUUUAUUGGGCGUAAAGCGAGCGCAGGCGGUUUUUUAAGUCUGAUGUGAAAGCCUUCGGCUCAACCGAAGAAGUGCAUCGGAAACUGGGAAACUUGAGUGCAGAAGAGGACAGUGGAACUCCAUGUGUAGCGGUGAAAUGCGUAGAUAUAUGGAAGAACACCAGUGGCGAAGGCGGCUGUCUGGUCUGUAACUGACGCUGAGGCUCGAAAGUAUGGGUAGCAAACAGGAUUAGAUACCCUGGUAGUCCAUACCGUAAACGAUGAAUGCUAAGUGUUGAGGGUUUCCGCCCUUCAGUGCUGCAGCUAACGCAUUAAGCAUUCCGCCUGGGGGUACGGCCGCAAGGCUGAAACUCAAAGGAAUUGACGGGGGCCCGCACAAGCGGUGGAGCAUGUGGUUUAAUUCGAAGCUACGCGAAGAACCUUACCAGGUCUUGACAUACUAUGCAAAUCUAAGAGAUUAGACGUUCCCUUCGGGGACAUGGAUACAGGUGGUCAUGGUUGUCGUCAGCUCGUGUCGUGAGAUGUUGGGUUAAGUCCCGCAACGAGCGCAACCCUUAUUAUCAGUUGCCAGCAUUAAGUUGGGCACUCUGGUGAGACUGCCGGUGACAAACCGGAGGAAGGUGGGGAUGACGUCAAAUCAUCAUGCCCCUUAUGACCUGGGCUACACACGUGCUACAAUGGAUGGUACAACGAGUUGCGAACUCGCGAGAGUAAGCUAAUCUCUUAAAGCCAUUCUCAGUUCGGAUUGUAGGCUGCAACUCGCCUACAUGAAGUCGGAAUCGCUAGUAAUCGCGGAUCAGCAUGCCGCGGUGAAUACGUUCCCGGGCCUUGUACACACCGCCCGUCACACCAUGAGAGUUUGUAACACCCAAAGUCGGUGGGGUAAC
RNAcentral lists this ribosomal RNA (1399 nucleotides) under Lactiplantibacillus pentosus. RNAcentral describes it as "bacterial SSU rRNA". It matches the Rfam family "Bacterial small subunit ribosomal RNA", at positions 70 to 1439 of the family's 1533-position model. The record is from RNAcentral. Lineage: Bacteria; Bacillati; Bacillota; Bacilli; Lactobacillales; Lactobacillaceae.